GAGACAACUCAGGAACCUCGAGCAGAAACACCAAUCAACCCCGGACGUCACGAUAUAUGGGCGGCUAGAAACAAUUAGAAGAGACAUUCGCACUCUCCUCCUAGACGACACGGCUAGGGCCAUGACAUGGUCAAAGAGAACGUACUACGACAAGGCCAAUAAAAUGGGCACGCUCCUAGCCAGGACGCUAUGGCCAAGGCAUAACCGGCCUCAUAUCACGGCCAUUAAACAUACAGACGGC
Pelobates cultripes (western spadefoot toad) is the source of this 241-nucleotide non-coding RNA. NCBI's taxonomy places the organism in Eukaryota, Metazoa, Chordata, Amphibia, Anura, Pelobatidae. The record is from the annotation of a GenBank genome assembly.